RNAcentral lists this ribosomal RNA (253 nucleotides) under uncultured bacterium. RNAcentral describes it as "partial 16S ribosomal RNA". It matches the Rfam family "Bacterial small subunit ribosomal RNA", at positions 524 to 776 of the family's 1533-position model. The record is from RNAcentral.
UACGGAGGGUGCAAGCGUUGCUCGGAAUUAUUGGGCGUAAAGGGUAGGUAGGUGGUCUCAUUUGUCUGAGGUGAAAGCCUUGGGCUUAACCCGAGAAGGGCCUCAGAAACGGUGAGACUCGAGUACUGGAGAGGGUCGUGGAAUUCCCGGUGUAGCGGUGAAAUGCGUAGAGAUCGGGAGGAACACCAGUGGCGAAGGCGGCGACCUGGACAGGUACUGACACUCAACUACGAAAGCGUGGGGAGCAAACAGG